Molecule: ribosomal RNA, 253 nt
Filed under: uncultured bacterium
Lineage: Bacteria
Description: partial 16S ribosomal RNA
Rfam family: Bacterial small subunit ribosomal RNA
Source: RNAcentral
UACGAGGGGGGCGAGCGUUGUUCGGAAUUAUUGGGCGUAAAGGGUGCGUAGGCGGUUUGGUAAGUCUCGUGUGAAAUCUCCGGGCUCAACUCGGAGCCUGCACGAGAAACUGCCGGGCUUGAGUGUGGGAGAGGUGAGUGGAAUUCCUGGUGUAGCGGUGAAAUGCGUAGAUAUCAGGAGGAACACCUGUGGCGAAAGCGGCUCACUGGCCCGAUACUGACGCUGAGGCACGAAAGCGUGGGGAGCAAACAGG